This 404-nucleotide ribosomal RNA is filed under the name uncultured Eubacterium sp. RNAcentral's name for it is "bacterial SSU rRNA". It matches the Rfam family "Bacterial small subunit ribosomal RNA", at positions 954 to 1354 of the family's 1533-position model. The record is from RNAcentral. Lineage: Bacteria; Bacillati; Bacillota; Clostridia; Eubacteriales; Eubacteriaceae.
UUUUAAAGGGGAAAAACCCUUCAAGUCUUGACAUAUCCCGGAACAAGGAUGUAAUGUGCAGUUUCUUUUGGGACAUCCAUGACAGGUGGUGCAUGGUUGUCGUCAGCUCGUGUCGUGAGAUGUUGGGUUAAGUCCCGCAACGAGCGCAACCCUUAUCUUUAGUAGCCAGCAGUUAGGCUGGGCACUCUAGAGAGACUGCCGGGGAUAACCCGGAGGAAGGUGGGGAUGACGUCAAAUCAUCAUGCCCCUUAUGACCUGGGCUACACACGUGCUACAAAUGGCGUAAACAAAAGGGAAGCGAAGCCGUGAGGGUGAGCAGAUCUCAAAAAUAACGCUCAGUUCGGAUUGUAGUCUGCGGAUUCGACUUACCAUGAAGCUGGAAUCGCUAGUAAUCGCAAUCAGAC